GGUCGGUUCGGCCGGGUUUCACACAGGUGUUGCAUGGCUGUCGUCCAGCUUCCGUGUCCGUGAGAUGUUGGGUUAAGUUCCCGCAACGAGCGCAACCCUCAUCCUUAGUUUACCAUCAGGUAAUGCUGGGGACUUUAAGGAAACUGCCAGUGAUAAACUGGAGGAAGGUGGGGAUGAUGUCAAGUCAUCAUGGCCCUUAUGGAGUGGGCUACACACGUGCUACAAUGGUGGCUACAAUGGGCUGCAAAGUCGCGAGGCUAAGCUAAUCCCUUAAAAGCCAUCUCAGUUCGAAUUGUACUCUGCAACUCGAGUGCAUGAAGUUGGAAUCGCUAGUAAUCGUGGAUCAGCACGCCACGGUGAAUACGUUCUCGGGUCUUGUACACACUGCCUACGUCACGCCAUGGGAAUUGGUUUACUUCCAAACCUAAAAAGGGGGGGAA
This 440-nucleotide ribosomal RNA is filed under the name Wolbachia endosymbiont of Tamarixia dryi. RNAcentral's name for it is "bacterial SSU rRNA". It matches the Rfam family "Bacterial small subunit ribosomal RNA", at positions 1013 to 1456 of the family's 1533-position model. The record is from RNAcentral. Lineage: Bacteria; Pseudomonadati; Pseudomonadota; Alphaproteobacteria; Rickettsiales; Anaplasmataceae.